GUGUCAGCCGCCGCGGUAAGACGAACCGUGCGAACGUUAUUCGGAAUCACUGGGCUUAAAGGGCGCGUAGGCGGGCUCGUUAGUCAGGGGUGAAAGCCCACGGCCCAACCGUGGAAGUGCCUCUGAUACUGCGAGCCUCGAGGGGGAUAGGGGCGUGCGGAACUCAGGGUGGAGCGGUGAAAUGCGUAGAUAUCCUGAGGAACACCGGUGGCGAAAGCGGCGCGCUGGAUCCCUUCUGACGCUGAGGCGCGAAAGCCAGGGGAGCAAACGGGAUUAGAUACCCCUGUAGUCC
This 292-nucleotide ribosomal RNA is filed under the name uncultured bacterium. RNAcentral's name for it is "partial 16S ribosomal RNA". It matches the Rfam family "Bacterial small subunit ribosomal RNA", at positions 505 to 796 of the family's 1533-position model. The record is from RNAcentral.